ACCGGCCCCGCUCCCGGCGGCCCCGCGGGCCCCGCGCGUUUCCGUUUCCGCGGGUUACCGGCGACACGGCCCGGCCGGCCCGGCCCGGAGCCACACCCGAGCACGGCCCGGAGGGAGGGGGUGGGCCGGGGGAGUUGCUGGUGCCCAGAAACCUUCACGGGGAAAAACCGCUUGGGCUUAAUUACACCGUGCCAAAAAAACCAAAAAGAAAGAUCCAAAAGAAGGAAGGAAGAAUCCCAAAGAAUCAGAGAAAUCUCCCAGUCCUUUGAGCUCUUCAAUCUCUUCUUCAGUCAGUGAUUGUGUGUAUGUGCAAUCCCAAAUAAAACCUCUGGCUGAUUCAU
This is a long non-coding RNA of Chiroxiphia lanceolata (lance-tailed manakin), 341 nucleotides long. RefSeq lists it as uncharacterized. NCBI's taxonomy places the organism in Eukaryota, Metazoa, Chordata, Aves, Passeriformes, Pipridae. The transcript is spliced from 2 exons. The record is from RefSeq and is a predicted model, not a curated record.